Molecule: ribosomal RNA, 229 nt
Filed under: uncultured bacterium
Lineage: Bacteria
Description: partial 16S ribosomal RNA
Rfam family: Bacterial small subunit ribosomal RNA
Source: RNAcentral
UACGUAGGCGGAAAGUUAAGUCAGUAGUGAAAUCCUGCAGCUUAACUGUAGAACUGAUAUUGAUACUGGUUUUCUUGAAUUUAGUUGAGGUAGGCGGAAUGUGUAAUGUAGCGGUGAAAUGCUUAGAUAUUACACAGAACACCGAUUGCGAAGGCAGCUUACUAAGCUAUGAUUGACGCUGAGGUACGAAAGCGUGGGGAGCGAACAGGAUUAGAUACCCUGGUAGUCC